CUUUGUUUACUUGCUGCACGUUGUGAGAAUAGUUUGUCCUUUUCUACUAUCACUUGAGCCAUUAAUGCUGUGCGUCCUUGCGGAAAAGUCAACGCUGAAGCGUCAGUGGUGUUGAACACCCUAUUAAGUACCUGAGCCACAAACUGCUGGAUCAGGAAACCAAAAUGAAGGAUUGAUGGCUCUCCACCUCACUUCCAGAGUCUACCCAGCUUGACCCACCUCAAGAACACCUCUUAACUAGAAGAAUCACCAUCUUGUGCUUAGCACACAUUUUUUUGUUCUUUUGCUUUUUCCAGUUUUACAACGCUUGCUGCAGGGUGCCCUAACAAACUGACAUUGUCUUGUCUUGUCUUGUGUUACCAUGUAGAUUCAAGGUUAAUACUAAAUGUGCCAGAGAACUGGCUGAAUCGUGGCUAUCAAAAGAAAAAGCCAUCAACAGACACUUAAACAUGAAUCUAGCAUAUGCAGGCUUAAAAAGAAAAACAUCUGCAUAUUAAAUAAGACUAUAUGACCAACACCUUCUGAACCCCACCUUCUUAUUCCAAAUCCCCUUACACCCAUCUCAGCCCCUUCCUCUUUUGCUAUAUAUUGCCUUUGAUUCCUGUAAGUCUAAUCAUUUUCUUCUGAUGAUGACUCCUGGUAGGAGUUAAAAGCUUAGUAGUAAAAA
This is a long non-coding RNA of Polypterus senegalus (gray bichir), 667 nucleotides long. RefSeq lists it as uncharacterized. The record is from RefSeq and is a predicted model, not a curated record. Lineage: Eukaryota; Metazoa; Chordata; Cladistia; Polypteriformes; Polypteridae. The transcript has 3 exons.